RNAcentral lists this ribosomal RNA (512 nucleotides) under uncultured bacterium. RNAcentral's name for it is "bacterial SSU rRNA". It matches the Rfam family "Bacterial small subunit ribosomal RNA", at positions 28 to 526 of the family's 1533-position model. The record is from RNAcentral.
GACGAACGCUGGCGGCGUGCUUAACACAUGCAAGUGGAGCGACGAAGCGGACUUCGGUCCGUGGCAGAGCCGCGAACGGGUGAGUAACACGUGGGUAACCUACCCCGAUGACCGGGACAACCCGAGGAAACUCGGGCUAAUACCGGAUGUUCUGCACUCUCGUAAGGGAGUUCAGCAAAGAUAGCUUCGGCCUUCGCAUCGGGACGGGCCCGCGGCCCAUUAGCUUGUUGGUGGGGUAACGGCCUACCAAGGCGACGAUGGGUAGCUGGUCUGAGAGGACGAUCAGCCACACUGGGACUGAGACACGGCCCAGACUCCUACGGGAGGCAGCAGUGGGGAAUCUUGCGCAAUGGGCGAAAGCCUGACGCAGCAACGCCGCGUGGGGGAAGAAGGCCUUCGGGUUGUAAACCCCUUUCAGUUGGGACGAAGCUUCCAGGGUUAAUAGCCCUGUGGAGUGACGGUACCUUCAGAAGAAGCCCCGGCUAACUACGUGCCAGCCGCCGCCGUAACAC